CCUACGGGUGGCAGCAGUGAGGAAUAUUGGUCAAUGGCCGGAAGGCUGAACCAGCCAUGCCGCGUGAAGGGCAGAGACCUAUGGGCGUUAAACUUCUUUUGUGCGGGAGCAAUAAUGGUCACGUGUGGCCAGACGAGAGUACCGUACGAAUAAGCAUCGGCCAACUCCGUUCCAGCAGCCGCGGAAAUACGGGGGAUGCAAGCGUUAUCCGGAUUUAUUGGGUUUAAAGGGUGCGUAGGCUGUGAGGUAAGUCAGCGGGGAAAUGCCCCCGCUCAACGGGGUGAAGUGCCAUUGAUACUGCCUUGCUGGAAUGCGGAUGCCGUGGGAGGAAUGUGUGGUGUAGCGGUGAAAUGCAUAGAUAUCACACAGAACACCGAUUGCGAAGGCAUCUCACGAAUCCGCGAUUGACGCUGAUGCACGAAAGCGUGGGUAUCAAACAGGAUUAGAUACCCUUGUAGUC
This 460-nucleotide ribosomal RNA is filed under the name uncultured bacterium. RNAcentral's name for it is "partial 16S ribosomal RNA". It matches the Rfam family "Bacterial small subunit ribosomal RNA", at positions 338 to 795 of the family's 1533-position model. The record is from RNAcentral.